AUAUUAUAGAGCCCACUGGGUAUAGGUAACUGAAAAUGCUAAGUGCCUGGAGUUGCGUGGAUCUGCAGUUAUAGCAACUUAAGGUACAGCAACCCUGGUCAACUCAAAAUAGUACCUUCAACAUCCUCAGCUACUGAAAUUGGGCCUUUCAUCAUCUUGUUGUGGUCAGGUUGCUAAAUUGGUUGUUUUUUGAAGCUGCAAUACAUGUAACUUUAGAACAAGAAUUUGAAAAGAAGAUCUUGCAUUUGCUGGACACCCUAACACUGAGGCAUGCAUUAACUAGGGUUCCUGCGAUGUGCUCGGUUAUCUCAGGGUAUGC
This 319-nucleotide long non-coding RNA is filed under the name Phoenix dactylifera (date palm). Its description in RNAcentral is "long non-coding RNA (PDAC_LNC018439)". The record is from RNAcentral. Lineage: Eukaryota; Viridiplantae; Streptophyta; Magnoliopsida; Arecales; Arecaceae.